GAGAAGUGGUCGAAUGAUGGUGCCAAUUCAACCCUCACUAGAUUUGUUCUUACACCCCCUUUCAUUUGAAAUCUAAGUCGGAUUCCACGAUGCCGCCUUUUUUCUUAGUUUGAUACUCAAAAAUAAUAGAAAGGUACCCUCUUUUCCUUAUUAGAUUCGAGCAGAGAAGAAAAUGUGAAAUUGAUAUGGAUCAAAAGGGUAGUUAUCUACAGAGUCGGGCAUUGUUAAUUACUUGUUUGGUAAAGUAAAUUGUAGAAAAUAUGUCUUACUCGGCCGAAAUUUAUCGAGGCGACUAUGA
RNAcentral lists this long non-coding RNA (298 nucleotides) under Olea europaea (common olive). RNAcentral describes it as "long non-coding RNA (OEUR_LNC008201)". The record is from RNAcentral. Lineage: Eukaryota; Viridiplantae; Streptophyta; Magnoliopsida; Lamiales; Oleaceae.